This 591-nucleotide ribosomal RNA is filed under the name Chaetomium globosum. RNAcentral describes it as "partial large subunit ribosomal RNA". It matches the Rfam family "Eukaryotic large subunit ribosomal RNA", at positions 50 to 667 of the family's 3401-position model. The record is from RNAcentral. Lineage: Eukaryota; Fungi; Ascomycota; Sordariomycetes; Sordariales; Chaetomiaceae.
GCGGAGGAAAAGAAACCAACAGGGAUUGCCCUAGUAACGGCGAGUGAAGCGGCAACAGCUCAAAUUUGAAAUCUGGCUUCGGCCCGAGUUGUAAUUUGCAGAGGAAGCUUUAGGCGCGGCACCUUCUGAGUCCCCUGGAACGGGGCGCCAUAGAGGGUGAGAGCCCCGUAUAGUUGGAUGCCUAGCCUGUGUAAAGCUCCUUCGACGAGUCGAGUAGUUUGGGAAUGCUGCUCAAAAUGGGAGGUAAAUUUCUUCUAAAGCUAAAUACCGGCCAGAGACCGAUAGCGCACAAGUAGAGUGAUCGAAAGAUGAAAAGCACUUUGAAAAGAGGGUUAAAUAGCACGUGAAAUUGUUGAAAGGGAAGCGCUUGUGACCAGACUUGCGCCGGGCGGAUCAUCCGGUGUUCUCACCGGUGCACUCCGCCCGGCUCAGGCCAGCAUCGGUUCUCGCGGGGGGAUAAAGGUCCUGGGAACGUAGCUCCUCCGGGAGUGUUAUAGCCCGGGGCGUAAUGCCCUCGCGGGGACCGAGGUUCGCGCAUCUGCAAGGAUGCUGGCGUAAUGGUCAUCAGCGACCCGUCUUGAAACACGGACC